This 1553-nucleotide ribosomal RNA is filed under the name Salmonella enterica subsp. enterica serovar Javiana. RNAcentral describes it as "bacterial SSU rRNA". It matches the Rfam family "Bacterial small subunit ribosomal RNA". The record is from RNAcentral. Lineage: Bacteria; Pseudomonadati; Pseudomonadota; Gammaproteobacteria; Enterobacterales; Enterobacteriaceae.
AAAUUGAAGAGUUUGAUCAUGGCUCAGAUUGAACGCUGGCGGCAGGCCUAACACAUGCAAGUCGAACGGUAACAGGAAGCAGCUUGCUGCUUUGCUGACGAGUGGCGGACGGGUGAGUAAUGUCUGGGAAACUGCCUGAUGGAGGGGGAUAACUACUGGAAACGGUGGCUAAUACCGCAUAACGUCGCAAGACCAAAGAGGGGGACCUUCGGGCCUCUUGCCAUCAGAUGUGCCCAGAUGGGAUUAGCUUGUUGGUGAGGUAACGGCUCACCAAGGCGACGAUCCCUAGCUGGUCUGAGAGGAUGACCAGCCACACUGGAACUGAGACACGGUCCAGACUCCUACGGGAGGCAGCAGUGGGGAAUAUUGCACAAUGGGCGCAAGCCUGAUGCAGCCAUGCCGCGUGUAUGAAGAAGGCCUUCGGGUUGUAAAGUACUUUCAGCGGGGAGGAAGGUGUUGUGGUUAAUAACCGCAGCAAUUGACGUUACCCGCAGAAGAAGCACCGGCUAACUCCGUGCCAGCAGCCGCGGUAAUACGGAGGGUGCAAGCGUUAAUCGGAAUUACUGGGCGUAAAGCGCACGCAGGCGGUCUGUCAAGUCGGAUGUGAAAUCCCCGGGCUCAACCUGGGAACUGCAUUCGAAACUGGCAGGCUUGAGUCUUGUAGAGGGGGUAGAAUUCCAGGUGUAGCGGUGAAAUGCGUAGAGAUCUGGAGGAAUACCGGUGGCGAAGGCGGCCCCCUGGACAAAGACUGACGCUCAGGUGCGAAAGCGUGGGGAGCAAACAGGAUUAGAUACCCUGGUAGUCCACGCCGUAAACGAUGUCUACUUGGAGGUUGUGCCCUUGAGGCGUGGCUUCCGGAGCUAACGCGUUAAGUAGACCGCCUGGGGAGUACGGCCGCAAGGUUAAAACUCAAAUGAAUUGACGGGGGCCCGCACAAGCGGUGGAGCAUGUGGUUUAAUUCGAUGCAACGCGAAGAACCUUACCUGGUCUUGACAUCCACAGAACUUUCCAGAGAUGGAUUGGUGCCUUCGGGAACUGUGAGACAGGUGCUGCAUGGCUGUCGUCAGCUCGUGUUGUGAAAUGUUGGGUUAAGUCCCGCAACGAGCGCAACCCUUAUCCUUUGUUGCCAGCGGUCCGGCCGGGAACUCAAAGGAGACUGCCAGUGAUAAACUGGAGGAAGGUGGGGAUGACGUCAAGUCAUCAUGGCCCUUACGACCAGGGCUACACACGUGCUACAAUGGCGCAUACAAAGAGAAGCGACCUCGCGAGAGCAAGCGGACCUCAUAAAGUGCGUCGUAGUCCGGAUUGGAGUCUGCAACUCGACUCCAUGAAGUCGGAAUCGCUAGUAAUCGUGGAUCAGAAUGCCACGGUGAAUACGUUCCCGGGCCUUGUACACACCGCCCGUCACACCAUGGGAGUGGGUUGCAAAAGAAGUAGGUAGCUUAACCUUCGGGAGGGCGCUUACCACUUUGUGAUUCAUGACUGGGGUGAAGUCGUAACAAGGUAACCGUAGGGGAACCUGCGGUUGGAUCACCUCCUUACCUGAAAGAAGC